Lytechinus variegatus (green sea urchin) is the source of this 1532-nucleotide long non-coding RNA. RefSeq lists it as uncharacterized. The transcript has 4 exons. The record is from RefSeq and is a predicted model, not a curated record. NCBI's taxonomy places the organism in Eukaryota, Metazoa, Echinodermata, Echinoidea, Temnopleuroida, Toxopneustidae.
CUGUUACUAUGGUAAUUGUCGGAUAAAACAGGACUUGUCAAAUAAUAUCCUUUCAUGAAACGCUCCCCAGAAGUUGGAGGCACGCAACACGGGCACCGGCGCCGCACCGCCACCGGUGACGGUCUGUGUGAUAAUGUGAAAGUAGCAUUAGGGUGUCUGAAGAAAAAAACAUGAUUUUGACAGAUGUUCAAUUUUUUUCUGGAAUUAGAAACUAAUCACCUUCAAAAUAUGGGGUUCCCGAACUUCGGACACUUUUCAGCUCUCAUCAGAUUGCUGUGUAACACUCACUAACACUACACUAGUAACAGUCUACGACCUAGAUCUCACUGUAGUGUAAGAAAACUUACAUUUUUGUCAGAUUUUGUCACUUUAAAGUUUUAUGAUUGUGCCGAGUGAUGCAAACAAUUUGAUAUUGUUCCUCAUCUAGAUGCCCGGCAGAAGGGCGCUAGCAGGGAAUUUCGUCCAAAUUUUCACUUUUCAUUUUUUUUCAUAAAUCGAUAGGGUUUGGAAAGAUCAACAUUUUUAAAAAAUAUCCUGGCUUUGGGAAAUGUUUAUUUUUAAAGUUAUGGUCAAUAAUCAAAGGGCACUAGCAGAUGGAAGACAAAAUCACUUCCCGGCAGAAGGGCGCAGUGCGAUCGUGCGCAUGCGCACACGUUACAGCCUUUAUACGAUAACCGGCUUUGCUAAAAUUCAGCCCGGCAGAAAGGCGCUAAUUCCGAACGGGAGAAGGAGAGCGUCCGUAACAGUCAUGGAGCCAGACACACUGCUGCUGAUUAGAUGGUUUAGGAACCAAUCAGAGAACGUGGUUGAAUAUAAAGACAUUAUAUGUCCUCAUCAUCGCCAUCCGAGGGUCGGAGAUGCAGUCGUCAUGCCAUGGGGGAGGGAGAGAUGGCACGGCAAGGUGCUACAAAUUUCGAGAGGACUCGGAUGAAGAUGAUGACGAUAUUCCUUUGAAAUUCCUAAGAGGUGAGAAAAUCAUUUUCUUUAUGACCCAGCAUUAUGCAGACCAGUAUUUGUUUGGUCAGGUCAAGAUGAUUAUUAUAAAUUUAUUUAAUUUACUGAACCAUUAAUACUGUAGCUAUUGAAGAUAGAUGUAGUGUUGUUUUGUUGGAGGUGCUACUUCUUCAAUGAUUUUCAAACUUGCAUGCAUGAAAACAACACUCUAAACUGUAUUUGUAUCAAACUGUUAACAUUUGGGGGGCUAGAUGACCCUCUGUAUUUUUUUUAAUUGUGAUAUGCUGGAUAGUCUUGGUAUUUAAAUGUACCCCCCCCCCCUUCUCUCCAUGCAUGCUGCAUACCAUUUAUCAGAUUACUACAUACAAUCAUUCUGUUUUUUUCUCCAUUUCUGACAGAAAAGGGAGAGAGAGCUGCAGCUGUCAUAGAGGGAAAUAUUACAGAAGAUAAAGGAAAGAGAGCUGACCUUGGAGGAGCUGUCACAGAAGAUGAAUGUAUCAGCAUUCUUGGAGAGGUGCUUAGAGGCAGGCAGGAGCAUCAUGUAGAAAUUUGUGAGCACUUUGGGUGUGCAGACGAGG